Long non-coding RNA from Neoarius graeffei (lesser salmon catfish), 252 nucleotides. RefSeq lists it as uncharacterized. The record is from RefSeq and is a predicted model, not a curated record. Lineage: Eukaryota; Metazoa; Chordata; Actinopteri; Siluriformes; Ariidae. The transcript is spliced from 2 exons.
AACCAUUUUUUUUUAUCUUAGUAUGCAGCCACAUCUUUUGCUGAGCAGUCUCUAAAACAUCUGUUGCAAUCCUUCCUUUUGUUUAUACCAUCGAAAGCACUGUCUGUGAGUUCUGGGUUAACACAGGACAUAAAUUGAUAUAAGAAUGGUAUUUUUGUGAAUUUCACUCCUGUUCAUUCUGGGUAUGAAGAUGCUGCUCAAUAAAGUGCCAGGAGUUCGGACGCUAUAUUCUGGCUCCCGGAUUCAUUUGAA